GCCAACAUCUUCCAUGGAGAUCACCAUGGCCUGGGCUCUGGUUUUCCUUGCACUUCUCAGUUACUGCUCGGGUGUCAAUUCUCAGAGUCUGACUCAGCCUGCCUCUGUGUCUGGGUCUCUGGGCCAAACAGUGACGCUCUCCUGCAGAAAAAGCAGCGGUGGGACCUGGGAACCUUACUAUCGCUGGGUCCGACAAAUACCUGGACAGGUCCCUCACUUUGUGCACUGUAAUGGCUGCAGCAGCCGGGGAGAAGGGAUCCCGGAUCGCAUCACUGCAUCGGCCUCGGGCAACACUGGCUAUAUAACCAUCACAAACGUCCAGGCCGAAGACGAGGCUGUCUAUUAUUGUUGCAAUUGGUAUAGCAGCAGCAUGUGCCACAGUGGGACAGCCUGA
Hemicordylus capensis (graceful crag lizard) is the source of this 394-nucleotide non-coding RNA. Lineage: Eukaryota; Metazoa; Chordata; Lepidosauria; Squamata; Cordylidae. The record is from the annotation of a RefSeq genome assembly.